Molecule: ribosomal RNA, 253 nt
Filed under: uncultured bacterium
Lineage: Bacteria
Description: partial 16S ribosomal RNA
Rfam family: Bacterial small subunit ribosomal RNA
Source: RNAcentral
UACGUAGGUGGCAAGCGUUGUCCGGAUUUACUGGGCGUAAAGGGCGUGCAGGCGGUUUUUUAAGUCUAGGGUGAAAGCUCCCGGCUCAACUGGGAGAGGUCCUUGGAUACUGGAAAACUUGAGGGAUGCAGAGGAAAGUGGAAUUCCCGGUGUAGUGGUGAUAUGCGUAGAUAUCGGGAGGAACACCAGUGGCGAAGGCGGGUCUCUGGGCCGAUACUGACGCUGAGGAGCGAAAGCGUGGGGAGCGAACAGG